This is an unclassified non-coding RNA of Colobus angolensis palliatus, 107 nucleotides long. It matches the Rfam family "Y RNA". From Rfam's summary of the family: Y RNAs are components of the Ro ribonucleoprotein particle (Ro RNP), in association with Ro60 and La proteins. The Y RNAs and Ro60 and La proteins are well conserved, but the function of the Ro RNP is not known. The record is from Ensembl. NCBI's taxonomy places the organism in Eukaryota, Metazoa, Chordata, Mammalia, Primates, Cercopithecidae.
UGCCUGUAUGAAGAUAGUGAGUUAUCUCAAAUGAUUGCUCAGUUACAGGUUGAACUCCUUGUUCUACUCUUUCCCCACUUCUCACUACUGCACUUGACCAGUCAACA